AUUGAACGCUGGCGGCAUGCUUUACACAUGCAAGUCGAACGGCAGCGCGGGCUUCGGCCUGGCGGCGAGUGGCGAACGGGUGAGUAAUACAUCGGAACGUGCCCAGUAGUGGGGGAUAGCUCGGCGAAAGCCGGAUUAAUACCGCAUACGACCUGAGGGUGAAAGCGGGGGAUCUUCGGACCUCGCGCGAUUGGAGCGGCCGAUGGCAGAUUAGCUAGUUGGUGGGGUAAAGGCCUACCAAGGCGACGAUCUGUAGCUGGUCUGAGAGGACGACUAGCCACACUGGGACUGAGACACGGCCCAGACUCCUACGGGAGGCAGCAGUGGGGAAUUUUGGACAAUGGGCGAAAGCCUGAUCCAGCAAUGCCGCGUGUGUGAUGAAGGCCUUCGGGUUGUAAAGCACUUUUGGCGGGAAGGAAAAGGACUGUGCCAAUACCACGGUUCGAUGACGGUACCCGCAGAAUAAGCACCGGCUAACUACGUG
This 484-nucleotide ribosomal RNA is filed under the name uncultured bacterium. RNAcentral describes it as "partial 16S ribosomal RNA". It matches the Rfam family "Bacterial small subunit ribosomal RNA", at positions 29 to 507 of the family's 1533-position model. The record is from RNAcentral.